CAAGAAUGCGCCGGCGCAGGGUGCACUGUGCACAGGCGCAGUUUGUCUGAUGUGCCCUAUUUCCCGCUCCUCCCUCAAGCAUCCCGGAAGGCAUGGAGGUCCUUUUGUCCCCCAUUCCUUGUAGGCAGAGCUCUUGGCCUCCCUGACCUUCUCUCCGUUCCAAAGGGCAGAAGAGUUGCUAAUCAAAGAAGCAGCAACAAAACCACCUGAGACAGAGACUCAACAAGAUUAGAAGAUGAACCACCUAGGACCCUGCAGAAGCAAAAAUACAAGACUGUUACCGCCUUGAUCCUUAUCACAUAUGCAGCCUGACUAUAUAACCUUUCCCUGCUCACUGGGGGCUGGUGGCGGUGGGGUGGGACAUAGUUCUUGAGAUGCUAGCAUACUGUGUUCCCCCUUUGCCUGGCAAAGUAAUAAAGCCACUCUUUCUUUCUCCUCCAUAA
Molecule: non-coding RNA, 443 nt
Organism: Odocoileus virginianus texanus
Lineage: Eukaryota; Metazoa; Chordata; Mammalia; Artiodactyla; Cervidae
Source: RefSeq, a predicted model, not a curated record